Molecule: ribosomal RNA, 435 nt
Filed under: uncultured bacterium
Lineage: Bacteria
Description: partial 16S ribosomal RNA
Rfam family: Bacterial small subunit ribosomal RNA
Source: RNAcentral
AGCGAACGCUGGCGGCAGGCUUAACACAUGCAAGUCGAACGGGCAUAGCAAUAUGUCAGUGGCAGACGGGUGAGUAACGCGUGGGAACGUACCUUUUGGUUCGGGACAACACAGGGAAACUUGUGCUAAUACCGGAUAAGCCCUUACGGGGAAAGAUUUAUCGCCGAAAGAUCGGCCCGCGUCUGAUUAGCUAGUUGGUAGGGUAAUGGCCUACCAAGGCGACGAUCAGUAGCUGGUCUGAGAGGAUGAUCAGCCACAUUGGGACUGAGACACGGCCCAAACUCCUACGGGAGGCAGCAGUGGGGAAUAUUGGACAAUGGGCGAAAGCCUGAUCCAGCCAUGCCGCGUGAGUGAUGAAGGCCCUAGGGUUGUAAAGCUCUUUUGUGCGGGAAGAUAAUGACGGUACCGCAAGAAUAAGCCCCGGCUAACUUCGUG